This 3007-nucleotide ribosomal RNA is filed under the name Salmonella enterica subsp. enterica serovar Senftenberg str. ATCC 43845. RNAcentral's name for it is "bacterial LSU rRNA". It matches the Rfam family "Bacterial large subunit ribosomal RNA". The record is from RNAcentral. Lineage: Bacteria; Pseudomonadati; Pseudomonadota; Gammaproteobacteria; Enterobacterales; Enterobacteriaceae.
GGGUUGUGAGGUUAAGCGACUAAGCGUACACGGUGGAUGCCCUGGCAGUCAGAGGCGAUGAAGGACGUGCUAAUCUGCGAUAAGCGCCGGUAAGGUGAUAUGAACCGUUAUAACCGGCGAUUUCCGAAUGGGGAAACCCAGUGUGAUUCGUCACACUAUCAUUAACUGAAUCCAUAGGUUAAUGAGGCGAACCGGGGGAACUGAAACAUCUAAGUACCCCGAGGAAAAGAAAUCAACCGAGAUUCCCCCAGUAGCGGCGAGCGAACGGGGAGGAGCCCAGAGCCUGAAUCAGCAUGUGUGUUAGUGGAAGCGUCUGGAAAGGCGCGCGAUACAGGGUGACAGCCCCGUACACAAAAGCGCACAUGCUGUGAGCUCGAUGAGUAGGGCGGGACACGUGGUAUCCUGUCUGAAUAUGGGGGGACCAUCCUCCAAGGCUAAAUACUCCUGACUGACCGAUAGUGAACCAGUACCGUGAGGGAAAGGCGAAAAGAACCCCGGCGAGGGGAGUGAAAAAGAACCUGAAACCGUGUACGUACAAGCAGUGGGAGCACCCUUUGGGGUGUGACUGCGUACCUUUUGUAUAAUGGGUCAGCGACUUAUAUUCUGUAGCAAGGUUAACCGCAUAGGGGAGCCGUAGGGAAACCGAGUCUUAACCGGGCGUUAAGUUGCAGGGUAUAGACCCGAAACCCGGUGAUCUAGCCAUGGGCAGGUUGAAGGUUGGGUAACACUAACUGGAGGACCGAACCGACUAAUGUUGAAAAAUUAGCGGAUGACCUGUGGCUGGGGGUGAAAGGCCAAUCAAACCGGGAGAUAGCUGGUUCUCCCCGAAAGCUAUUUAGGUAGCGCCUCGUGAACUCAUCUCCGGGGGUAGAGCACUGUUUCGGCUAGGGGGCCAUCCCGGCUUACCAACCCGAUGCAAACUGCGAAUACCGGAGAAUGUUAUCACGGGAGACACACGGCGGGUGCUAACGUCCGUCGUGAAGAGGGAAACAACCCAGACCGCCAGCUAAGGUCCCAAAGUCAUGGUUAAGUGGGAAACGAUGUGGGAAGGCCCAGACAGCCAGGAUGUUGGCUUAGAAGCAGCCAUCAUUUAAAGAAAGCGUAAUAGCUCACUGGUCGAGUCGGCCUGCGCGGAAGAUGUAACGGGGCUAAACCAUGCACCGAAGCUGCGGCAGCGAACGUAUCACUUAAAGCGAUUCAGCGGGUUACGAUUGACGGAGCGAAGCGACGUCAAAGCGUAUACAAAGUCGAGUCGGUUUAAGGAUACGUUCGUUGGGUAGGGGAGCGUUCUGUAAGCCUGCGAAGGUGGCCUGUGAGGGUUGCUGGAGGUAUCAGAAGUGCGAAUGCUGACAUAAGUAACGAUAAAGCGGGUGAAAAGCCCGCUCGCCGGAAGACCAAGGGUUCCUGUCCAACGUUAAUCGGGGCAGGGUGAGUCGACCCCUAAGGCGAGGCCGAAAGGCGUAGUCGAUGGGAAACGGGUUAAUAUUCCCGUACUUGGUGUUACUGCGAAGGGGGACGGAGAAGGCUAUGUUGGCCGGGCGACGGUUGUCCCGGUUUAAGCGUGUAGGUGUGUGUUCCAGGUAAAUCCGGUUCACUUUAACACUGAGGCGUGAUGACGAGGCACUACGGUGCUGAAGCAACAAAUGCCCUGCUUCCAGGAAAAGCCUCUAAGCAUCAGGUAACAUCAAAUCGUACCCCAAACCGACACAGGUGGUCAGGUAGAGAAUACCAAGGCGCUUGAGAGAACUCGGGUGAAGGAACUAGGCAAAAUGGUGCCGUAACUUCGGGAGAAGGCACGCUGACACGUAGGUGAAGUGAUUUACUCAUGGAGCUGAAGUCAGUCGAAGAUACCAGCUGGCUGCAACUGUUUAUUAAAAACACAGCACUGUGCAAACACGAAAGUGGACGUAUACGGUGUGACGCCUGCCCGGUGCCGGAAGGUUAAUUGAUGGGGUCAGCGCAAGCGAAGCUCCUGAUCGAAGCCCCGGUAAACGGCGGCCGUAACUAUAACGGUCCUAAGGUAGCGAAAUUCCUUGUCGGGUAAGUUCCGACCUGCACGAAUGGCGUAAUGAUGGCCAGGCUGUCUCCACCCGAGACUCAGUGAAAUUGAACUCGCUGUGAAGAUGCAGUGUACCCGCGGCAAGACGGAAAGACCCCGUGAACCUUUACUAUAGCUUGACACUGAACAUUGAGCCUUGAUGUGUAGGAUAGGUGGGAGGCUUUGAAGUGUGGACGCCAGUCUGCAUGGAGCCGACCUUGAAAUACCACCCUUUAAUGUUUGAUGUUCUAACGUGGACCCGUUACCCGGGUUGCGGACAGUGUCUGGUGGGUAGUUUGACUGGGGCGGUCUCCUCCUAAAGAGUAACGGAGGAGCACGAAGGUUGGCUAAUCCUGGUCGGACAUCAGGAGGUUAGUGCAAUGGCAUAAGCCAGCUUGACUGCGAGCGUGACGGCGCGAGCAGGUGCGAAAGCAGGUCAUAGUGAUCCGGUGGUUCUGAAUGGAAGGGCCAUCGCUCAACGGAUAAAAGGUACUCCGGGGAUAACAGGCUGAUACCGCCCAAGAGUUCAUAUCGACGGCGGUGUUUGGCACCUCGAUGUCGGCUCAUCACAUCCUGGGGCUGAAGUAGGUCCCAAGGGUAUGGCUGUUCGCCAUUUAAAGUGGUACGCGAGCUGGGUUUAGAACGUCGUGAGACAGUUCGGUCCCUAUCUGCCGUGGGCGCUGGAGAACUGAGGGGGGCUGCUCCUAGUACGAGAGGACCGGAGUGGACGCAUCACUGGUGUUCGGGUUGUCAUGCCAAUGGCACUGCCCGGUAGCUAAAUGCGGAAGAGAUAAGUGCUGAAAGCAUCUAAGCACGAAACUUGCCCCGAGAUGAGUUCUCCCUGAGACUUUAAGUCUCCUGAAGGAACGUUGAAGACGACGACGUUGAUAGGCCGGGUGUGUAAGCGCAGCGAUGCGUUGAGCUAACCGGUACUAAUGAACCGUGAGGCUUAACCUUACAACGCCGAAG